RNA transcript from Gossypium arboreum, 1316 nucleotides. RefSeq lists it as uncharacterized. Lineage: Eukaryota; Viridiplantae; Streptophyta; Magnoliopsida; Malvales; Malvaceae. The transcript has 2 exons. The record is from RefSeq and is a predicted model, not a curated record.
AAUCUCAAACCAUAAAAAGAAAGCAAACGCUAGUCAACAACGUUGAAACUCUCCCUCCCAAAACAUCAAUUUUUCUCUCAAUUUUCCGAAAGAAAAAAGCAAUUUACUUUUUUUUUUUAUAUAUAUAAAUAUUCUCAAUUCGACUUUCCUCUCUGUCAAACUUCUACCCUUUUCUACAUUCAAGUGCGCGUGUUUUUUUUUUCCUUCGUACAAUGCCACAGGGCAAUUUAGAAACCCUUGUUUCCGCCUGUGCCGGUGGCUCUUGCGACAACAAAAUCAUUUGCGAGACUUUAGCAACCAGCGAAAGUGAUUCCGACGACCACCUCCACCCGGCGGAGAAACAUAUUGAAGAAGAAAUCCCAUCGGAUUUCCCGCCAGAAUCGUUUUGGUUAUCCAAAGACGCCGAGUUCGACUGGUUCGAUCGUAACGCUUUUUACGAACGGAAAGAUUCGCAUAAAGGAAACUCAGGUCCCAACUCUGCAAACCUCAACCCUAAUCUUAACUCGAUCUCCAAUUCUCAACGCUUUUCUCUUAGAAAGCCUAAAGCUUCCAUCAUCGGCUUACCGAAACCGCAGAAGUCUUGCUUUGUCGAAACGAAGAACAGGAAACCUGGGAACACUAGAUUGUUUCCUAAACGGCCUGGCUCAGUUAAAUCGGAUCGGCCAGUUGUUGAACCAUCUUCGCCUAAGGUUUCUUGUAUGGGAAGAGUGAGAUCGAAGCGUGACCGUAAUGGCCGGCUAAAAAGGAACAGCCAAAAAUCGACCGGAGUUGAAACAGUUAAAGAGAAAACGACGGGCAAAAGAAGCGGUUUAUUUUCAAGUUUUCGUGCUAUUUUCAGGUCCAGUGGGAAAGCAAGUGAAUCAGACGCGCUUCCAGUAGCCCCGUCGCCGCCAGGGAAUAGGGACAUUAGGUCUCGUUUGCCACCAGAUGAUCGUGACGCAAUAUCGAUAGAGCCUGAAAUUAUGGAGAGUGAACCGGUCAGUCUAGGUGGAAUGAAGCGGCUUGCAUCCGGUAGGAGAUCGGAGCCGUUAAUCUGAGGUGCGUGAUGACAGUUGUGGGGCACAGCUCAAGCGUUGUUUGGUCUGCGGUCGUGGUUGGGUAACUUGCGGGUCCCGCCUAUUUUUCAAAAUUCUCUUUCGUGGUGACGUCACACGAUGAUUGACUGUUUUGACAAAGUAAUGGAGCACACUUUUGUUUAAUGAAAAAAAAAAGUGUUAAAUAACAGCUAAAAAGAUUACACAAAAGCUUUGGGUUGAUGUUUUGAUUGCUAUGACUGAAUGCCAAAUACAGCCAUUUAUUUUAUACAAACACAGUUU